Molecule: ribosomal RNA, 456 nt
Filed under: uncultured bacterium
Lineage: Bacteria
Description: bacterial SSU rRNA
Rfam family: Bacterial small subunit ribosomal RNA
Source: RNAcentral
GCGAACGCUGGCGGCAGGCCUAACACAUGCAAGUCGAACGGACCCUUCGGGGUUAGUGGCGGGCGGGUGAGUAACACGUGGGAACGUGCCUUUAGGUUCGGAAUAGCUCCUGGAAACGGGUGGUAAUGCCGAAUGUGCCCUUCGGGGGAAAGAUUUAUCGCCUUUAGAGCGGCCCGCGUCUGAUUAGCUAGUUUGUGGGGUAAUGGCCCACCAAGGCUACGAUCAGUAGCUGGUCUGAGAGGAUGACCAGCCACAUUGGGACUGAGACACGGCCCAAACUCCUACGGGAGGCAGCAGUGGGGAAUCUUGCGCAAUGGGCGAAAGCCUGACGCAGCCAUGCCGCGUGUAUGAUGAAGGUCUUAGGAUUGUAAAAUACUUUCAGACGGAAAGAAAUCGGGCGCGUGAAUAGCGUGCCUGGAUGACGGUACUGUCAGAAGAAGCACCGGCUAACUACGU